CCUACGGGUGGCAGCAGUGGGGAAUAUUGCACAAUGGGGGAAACCCUGAUGCAGCGACGCCGCGUGAGUGAAGAAGUAUUUCGGUAUGUAAAGCUCUAUCAGCAGGGAAGAAAAUGACGGUACCUGACUAAGAAGCCCCGGCUAACUACGUCCCAGCGGCCGCGGUAAUACGUAGGGGGCCAGCGUUAUCCGGAUUUACUGGGUGUAAAGGGAGCGUAGAGGGCCAGACAAGUCAGAAGUGAAAGCCCAGGGCCCAACCCUGGGACUGCUUUUGAAACUGCCGGGCUUGAGUGCAGGAGAGGUAAGCGGAAUUCCUAGUGUAGCGGUGAAAUGCGUAGAUAUUAGGAGGAACACCAGUGGCGAAGGCGGCUUACUGGACUGUAACUGACGUUGAGGCUCGAAAGCGUGGGGAGCAAACAGGAUUAGAUACCCCAGUAGUC
This 440-nucleotide ribosomal RNA is filed under the name uncultured bacterium. RNAcentral's name for it is "partial 16S ribosomal RNA". It matches the Rfam family "Bacterial small subunit ribosomal RNA", at positions 338 to 795 of the family's 1533-position model. The record is from RNAcentral.